AGAGUUUGAUCCUGGCUCAGAUUGAACGCUGGCGGCAUGCCUUACACAUGCAAGUCGAACGGCAGCACGGGAGCAAUCCUGGUGGCGAGUGGCGAACGGGUGAGUAAUAUAUCGGAACGUGCCCAGUCGUGGGGGAUAACGCAGCGAAAGCUGUGCUAAUACCGCAUACGAUCUACGGAUGAAAGCGGGGGAUCGCAAGACCUCGCGCGAUUGGAGCGGCCGAUAUCAGAUUAGCUAGUUGGUGGGGUAAAAGCCCACCAAGGCGACGAUCUGUAGCUGGUCUGAGAGGACGACCAGCCACACUGGAACUGAGACACGGUCCAGACUCCUACGGGAGGCAGCAGUGGGGAAUUUUGGACAAUGGGCGCAAGCCUGAUCCAGCAAUGCCGCGUGCAGGAUGAGGCCUUCGGGUUGUAAACUGCUUUUGUACGGAGCGAAACGGUCUGUCCUAAUACGAUGGGCUAAUGACGGUACCGUAAGAAUAAGCACCGGCUAACUACGUGCCAGCAGCCGCGGUAAUACGUAGGGUGCGAGCGUUAAUCGGAAUUACUGGGCGUAAAGCGUGCGCAGGCGGUUAUAUAAGACAGAUGUGAAAUCCCCGGGCUCAACCUGGGACCUGCAUUUGUGACUGUAUGGCUAGAGUACGGUAGAGGGGGAUGGAAUUCCGCGUGUAGCAGUGAAAUGCGUAGAUAUGCGGAGGAACACCGAUGGCGAAGGCAAUCCCCUGGACCUGUACUGACGCUCAUGCACGAAAGCGUGGGGAGCAAACAGGAUUAGAUACCCUGGUAGUCCACGCCCUAAACGAUGUCAACUGGUUGUUGGGUCUUCACUGACUCAGUAACGAAGCUAACGCGUGAAGUUGACCGCCUGGGGAGUACGGCCGCAAGGUUG
RNAcentral lists this ribosomal RNA (891 nucleotides) under uncultured beta proteobacterium. Its description in RNAcentral is "bacterial SSU rRNA". It matches the Rfam family "Bacterial small subunit ribosomal RNA", at positions 8 to 896 of the family's 1533-position model. Lineage: Bacteria; Pseudomonadati; Pseudomonadota; Betaproteobacteria. The record is from RNAcentral.